Molecule: transfer RNA, 67 nt
Filed under: Marmota monax (woodchuck)
Lineage: Eukaryota; Metazoa; Chordata; Mammalia; Rodentia; Sciuridae
Description: tRNA.Gly
Source: RNAcentral
GGUUGUGGCUCAGUGGUAGAGCGUUUGCCUACCAUUUGUGAGGCACUGAGUUUGAUCCUCAGCACCA